This is a non-coding RNA of Cordylochernes scorpioides, 79 nucleotides long. Lineage: Eukaryota; Metazoa; Arthropoda; Arachnida; Pseudoscorpiones; Chernetidae. The record is from the annotation of a GenBank genome assembly.
AAAUGACCCAUGAGGGAUCAAACUCACGACCAUUGCCUUAUUAGCACGGCACUCUAACCAACUGAGCUAAUAUGUCAUU